This is a long non-coding RNA of Cygnus olor (mute swan), 180 nucleotides long. RefSeq lists it as uncharacterized. NCBI's taxonomy places the organism in Eukaryota, Metazoa, Chordata, Aves, Anseriformes, Anatidae. The record is from RefSeq and is a predicted model, not a curated record. The transcript is spliced from 3 exons.
CAAAGGAAAAGUCUGCCAGAGGCGAGCAAGACUUUUUUUGCAUUGGCCAAAAUAGAUCUGAUGGAGGGAAGGAAAUCUCAUUGCAAUGGAGGAAGAUAAGGUACAAGAGACCUGCCUGUCACCUCUCCUGUCUGUGAAAUAUGAUUUAUGAUGAAGAUAAACGAUUACAAUAGCAUUUGA